CUAGAUCUGGGAUCAGAUGAUCCAAUAAUCCCUCUUGAAUGGACUUCCCCUGGAGAAUUUUAGUCCAUUAUACUCAUCACGGUGUAAUGAAAUGGAUGCUGGAUUUGGAUUGAAGAAUUUGAGGCCCAAAGUAACAUGAGGAGUAAGCGGAAGAAGCAGAAACAUGAAUGCGGUCAAAUCAAAAUCUACACGGCAUGAUCUCAAUAAGCAUGGACAAUGGAAAACAUGUCAUAAGAUGGGAGAAGGGCAAAUGUUCCAAUUUUCUGAAAGGGGAAGAAAAUGGAAUUAACAAAAUA
Molecule: non-coding RNA, 296 nt
Organism: Phascolarctos cinereus (koala)
Lineage: Eukaryota; Metazoa; Chordata; Mammalia; Diprotodontia; Phascolarctidae
Source: RefSeq, a predicted model, not a curated record